GCUUGAUAAUUUAUAUAAAAUAUUUACCUUGAAAGUAAAAUAAAGAAACUUCUUUAAGCUUA
RNAcentral lists this transfer RNA (62 nucleotides) under Acizzia uncatoides. RNAcentral's name for it is "tRNA-Ser". Lineage: Eukaryota; Metazoa; Arthropoda; Insecta; Hemiptera; Psyllidae. The record is from RNAcentral.